GCUUGUCUCAAAGAUUAAGCCAUGCAUGUCUAAGUAUAAGCACUUAUACCGUGAAACUGCGAAUGGCUCAUUACAUCAGUUAUAGUUUAUUUGAUAGUCCCCACUACUUGGAUAACCGUAGUAAUUCUAGAGCUAAUACAUGCAUCAAACCCCGACUUCUGGAAGGGGUGUAUUUAUUAGAUGGAAACCAAUGCAGGGCAACCUGGAAUAUGGUGAUUCAUAAUAACUCGCGGAUCGGUUUACCGAUGCAUCAUUCAAGUUUCUGCCCUAUCAUGCUCUCGAUGGUAGUGUAUUGGACUACCAUGGCUCUCACGGGUAACGGGGAAUUAGGGUUCGAUUCCGGAGAAGGAGCCUGAGAAACGGCUACUACAUCUAAGGAAGGCAGCAGG
This 389-nucleotide ribosomal RNA is filed under the name uncultured Chrysophyceae. Its description in RNAcentral is "partial small subunit ribosomal RNA". It matches the Rfam family "Eukaryotic small subunit ribosomal RNA", at positions 30 to 432 of the family's 1831-position model. The record is from RNAcentral. Lineage: Eukaryota; Chrysophyceae.